RNAcentral lists this transfer RNA (43 nucleotides) under Causonis corniculata. RNAcentral's name for it is "partial tRNA-His". The record is from RNAcentral. Lineage: Eukaryota; Viridiplantae; Streptophyta; Magnoliopsida; Vitales; Vitaceae.
GGGGCGGAUGUAGCCAAGUGGAUCAAGGCAGUGGAUUUGUGAA